Molecule: ribosomal RNA, 1530 nt
Filed under: Klebsiella pneumoniae
Lineage: Bacteria; Pseudomonadati; Pseudomonadota; Gammaproteobacteria; Enterobacterales; Enterobacteriaceae
Description: bacterial SSU rRNA
Rfam family: Bacterial small subunit ribosomal RNA
Source: RNAcentral
AGAGUUUGAUCCUGGCUCAGAUUGAACGCUGGCGGCAGGCCUAACACAUGCAAGUCGAGCGGUAGCACAGAGAGCUUGCUCUCGGGUGACGAGCGGCGGACGGGUGAGUAAUGUCUGGGAAACUGCCUGAUGGAGGGGGAUAACUACUGGAAACGGUAGCUAAUACCGCAUAAUGUCGCAAGACCAAAGUGGGGGACCUUCGGGCCUCAUGCCAUCAGAUGUGCCCAGAUGGGAUUAGCUAGUAGGUGGGGUAACGGCUCACCUAGGCGACGAUCCCUAGCUGGUCUGAGAGGAUGACCAGCCACACUGGAACUGAGACACGGUCCAGACUCCUACGGGAGGCAGCAGUGGGGAAUAUUGCACAAUGGGCGCAAGCCUGAUGCAGCCAUGCCGCGUGUGUGAAGAAGGCCUUCGGGUUGUAAAGCACUUUCAGCGGGGAGGAAGGCGUUAAGGUUAAUAACCUUGGCGAUUGACGUUACCCGCAGAAGAAGCACCGGCUAACUCCGUGCCAGCAGCCGCGGUAAUACGGAGGGUGCAAGCGUUAAUCGGAAUUACUGGGCGUAAAGCGCACGCAGGCGGUCUGUCAAGUCGGAUGUGAAAUCCCCGGGCUCAACCUGGGAACUGCAUUCGAAACUGGCAGGCUAGAGUCUUGUAGAGGGGGGUAGAAUUCCAGGUGUAGCGGUGAAAUGCGUAGAGAUCUGGAGGAAUACCGGUGGCGAAGGCGGCCCCCUGGACAAAGACUGACGCUCAGGUGCGAAAGCGUGGGGAGCAAACAGGAUUAGAUACCCUGGUAGUCCACGCCGUAAACGAUGUCGAUUUGGAGGUUGUGCCCUUGAGGCGUGGCUUCCGGAGCUAACGCGUUAAAUCGACCGCCUGGGGAGUACGGCCGCAAGGUAAACUCAAAUGAAUUGACGGGGGCCCGCACAAGCGGUGGAGCAUGUGGUUUAAUUCGAUGCAACGCGAAGAACCUUACCUGGUCUUGACAUCCACAGAACUUUCCAGAGAUGGAUUGGUGCCUUCGGGAACUGUGAGACAGGUGCUGCAUGGCUGUCGUCAGCUCGUGUUGUGAAAUGUUGGGUUAAGUCCCGCAACGAGCGCAACCCUUAUCCUUUGUUGCCAGCGGUCCGGCCGGGAACUCAAAGGAGACUGCCAGUGAUAAACUGGAGGAAGGUGGGGAUGACGUCAAGUCAUCAUGGCCCUUACGACCAGAGCUACACACGUGCUACAAUGGCAUAUACAAAGAGAAGCGACCUCGCGAGAGCAAGCGGACCUCAUAAAGUAUGUCGUAGUCCGGAUUGGAGUCUGCAACUCGACUCCAUGAAGUCGGAAUCGCUAGUAAUCGUAGAUCAGAAUGCUACGGUGAAUACGUUCCCGGGCCUUGUACACACCGCCCGUCACACCAUGGGAGUGGGUUGCAAAAGAAGUAGGUAGCUUAACCUUCGGGAGGGCGCUUACCACUUUGUGAUUCAUGACUGGGGUGAAGUCGUAACAAGGUAACCGUAGGGGAACCUGCGGCUGGAUCACCUCCUU